UCCGUGCCAGCAGCCGCGGUAAUACGGAGGGUGCGAGCGUUAAUCGGAAUUACUGGGCGUAAAGCGCAUGCAGGCGGCCUGUUAAGUCAGAUCGUGAAAGCCCGGGGCUUAACCUCGGAAUUGCAUUUGAAACUGGCAGGCUAGAGUCUUGUAGAGGGGGGUAGGAAUUUCAGGUGUAGCGGUGAAAUCGCGUAGAGAUCUGAAGGAAUACCAGUGGCGAAGGCGGCCCCCUGGACAAAGACUGACGCUCAGGUACUGCGAAAGCGUGGGGAGCCAAACAGGAUUAGAUACCCCUGGUAG
This 300-nucleotide ribosomal RNA is filed under the name uncultured bacterium. RNAcentral's name for it is "bacterial SSU rRNA". It matches the Rfam family "Bacterial small subunit ribosomal RNA", at positions 502 to 793 of the family's 1533-position model. The record is from RNAcentral.